This is a long non-coding RNA of Camellia sinensis, 762 nucleotides long. RefSeq lists it as uncharacterized. The record is from RefSeq and is a predicted model, not a curated record. NCBI's taxonomy places the organism in Eukaryota, Viridiplantae, Streptophyta, Magnoliopsida, Ericales, Theaceae.
UUUUUCGAUACGAAAGGAAAUUCCACAUUUGAUACUUGAUGGUUGUACUUUGCAGUUACAUCACGUCCGACUUCAGAGCUAAUACCUUGAAAACUACGGAGAGAAAAAACUUAUCUAUCCCUUCUGCUCGAUCAUCUUCCUAGAAGAUUCACUAAAACAAGGAAAAGGGGUACUGGGUCUUGAUUACUUGUUCAGUCUGAGCAAGAAAUUUCAAGAUUUGGUGAAGAAAAGGUAGAGACCAUGGCAGUGCCAUGGGGGAUGACCCUUUGGAUGGCAAGGAUGGUGUGGUUGGCCCUGAGUGGUUGGAUCACAUCAUGCUUGACUGUUGCUGAUGAGAUCGCUGGAUCUCUUCGAACUGGUGAUAUGGGUCCUUCUCAUAUUGGGUGAUUCAAGAAUUGUACAGUGAAAUUAAGCCAAUUCUCUGGUUUGUCCUUGUGAAUUUGCUGUUCAAGUCCAGGUUUUCCUCACAAUAUAGGUUGAUUGACAAAGGUGGCAAGCACUGUCCAAGAGAGCAUCCCAAAUUUUCCUUUUCAAUGGUUUCAAACAGUGAAUUGGCCAAUACUUUUACAUGUUGGGAUAUACUGUUCUGCUAUCAUAUUUCUCAGCAUUGUGUAACGAUUUUCUGGUAAUAUUGUGAUUCAAUGGCUUGACCUUUUUUUGUGCCUUUGUGAUUUUCAUUUUUAGUGGCUGGAAUAGCUGCUGGAUGAUAUUUUGAUUUUUUCACUGAACUAAAAUCCUGUAAAAAUAUGUUAAACCCAUAUA